UACAGAGGUCCCAAGCGUUGUUCGGAUUCAUUGGGCGUAAAGGGUGCGUAGGCGGCGCGGUAAGUCGGGUGUGAAAUCUCGGAGCUUAACUCCGAAACUGCAUUCGAUACUGCCGUGCUUGAGGACUGGAGAGGAGACUGGAAUUUUCGGUGUAGCGGUGAAAUGCGUAGAUAUCGUAAGGAAGACCAGUGGCGAAGGCGGGUCUCUGGACAGUUCCUGACGCUGAGGCACGAAGGCCAGGGGAGCAAACGGG
This 253-nucleotide ribosomal RNA is filed under the name uncultured bacterium. RNAcentral's name for it is "partial 16S ribosomal RNA". It matches the Rfam family "Bacterial small subunit ribosomal RNA", at positions 524 to 776 of the family's 1533-position model. The record is from RNAcentral.